This is a long non-coding RNA of Pristis pectinata (smalltooth sawfish), 348 nucleotides long. RefSeq lists it as uncharacterized. The record is from RefSeq and is a predicted model, not a curated record. NCBI's taxonomy places the organism in Eukaryota, Metazoa, Chordata, Chondrichthyes, Rhinopristiformes, Pristidae. The transcript is spliced from 3 exons.
CAGCCCCUCAGUAGAAGCAGACGGUGUGCAGGAAGGUCCGGCCGCUCUUCUCCUCCAGUUCCUGGAUCAGUUCAUCGAUUUCAUUCUCCAUGUCCUCGGUGCGCUGAAUCUAAACAGGACAAAUACGGCUGAGAUGCUGCCGGAACCCGAGGACUUCCAACAUUUGCUGGGGACACAAGAGACUGCAGAUGCUGGACUCUGGAGCAGCAUUUGUUGAUCUGGGAAAUCACAAGAUGGGGGCAUCAGCAAACCACGUUUCACAAGCAGCUAGGUCAAUGGCGUGGUGAACACAAGGGACGGCCAUUUUACCUUCAAGCACCUGAUCGUACACACGCUCCUCACAUGUCA